Molecule: unclassified non-coding RNA, 250 nt
Filed under: fungal sp.
Lineage: Eukaryota; Fungi
Description: partial internal transcribed spacer region
Rfam family: Eukaryotic small subunit ribosomal RNA (bases 1-46)
Source: RNAcentral
AAGUCGUAACAAGGUAACCGUAGGUGAACCUGCGGUUGGAUCAUUAAAAAAUGGUAUAGUUUGCAGUUUGGUUGAAUAGUCGCAUGACGAAUUCCUAGGCUGCAAAUUUCCCUCCAACCCUCUGUGCACACUUUAUUGUAUUUUGGGCAAGACUUUUGUUUUGCCCAGUGGAUUAUUAACACCUCUUUAAUUUUGCCUGAAAUUAUUUUAUAAAUAAUAACAACUUUUGACAACGGAUCUCUUGGCUCUC